UUGGCUUAAAUCACAGUGGGUCUCACACUUUGGAAAUAGAUUCCACUUAAAGUGGUGGGUCACACAUUGGUUUAAGCCAA
This is a microRNA precursor of Medicago truncatula (barrel medic), 80 nucleotides long. It matches the Rfam family "MIR5269 microRNA precursor family". Lineage: Eukaryota; Viridiplantae; Streptophyta; Magnoliopsida; Fabales; Fabaceae. The record is from Rfam.